Molecule: transfer-messenger RNA, 375 nt
Filed under: Microgenomates group bacterium ADurb.Bin219
Lineage: Bacteria
Description: transfer-messenger RNA, SsrA
Rfam family: transfer-messenger RNA
About the family: Bacterial tmRNA, also known as 10Sa RNA or SsrA, is named for its dual tRNA and mRNA-like properties. Its role is to liberate the mRNA from a stalled ribosome.
Source: RNAcentral
GGGGAUGACAGGCUUCGACGGAAAGCGCUCUUUUAAAACGGCAAGCCCCCGUUGAUUCAUCGGGGCUAAACAGGAUCAAAAAAUAAAAGUCAACGAUACUGUUGAUUCCGCAGUCAGCGAGAAAUUCGCUGUCAAUUACGCAUUCGCGUAAACGGCAUUCGGUGGGUUUUUUCUCAACGGAACCUUCCGGGUGUAAACAAAGUUGAGACGUAACCCCGGCGUUUGAUUUCACCGGCGGGGCCAAAGAUAAAAAAAUCUAGCCCGGACUUUCUCGCCGAUUGGAUCAGGUUCGGGUGAAAAAAUAAAUUUCGGCUAAGCUUGUAGAAGUUUUAGAAAAGUCUUUUCGGAUCCCGGUUCAAUCCCGGGCAUCUCCAC